AGUGCCGCCUCCACGUGGCGCUGCCUGGGAUCACUAGUGGCUACUACUGCUAGUGAUGCUAAGAGCACUACAUACUAGAAGAAUAUACUAAAGCUGAAAUAAAGAUGAAAUAUCAAGUGGAAUGAUACUCAAGACUGAAACAAGAGAUUUAUAUACUAGUUUUAAUCUUUUUAAGAAAUAAUUCUUUUAAAUUUUAA
Amphimedon queenslandica is the source of this 197-nucleotide long non-coding RNA. RefSeq lists it as uncharacterized. The transcript has 2 exons. Lineage: Eukaryota; Metazoa; Porifera; Demospongiae; Haplosclerida; Niphatidae. The record is from RefSeq and is a predicted model, not a curated record.